Molecule: ribosomal RNA, 524 nt
Filed under: Pseudoalteromonas sp. 7Bb4S118
Lineage: Bacteria; Pseudomonadati; Pseudomonadota; Gammaproteobacteria; Alteromonadales; Pseudoalteromonadaceae
Description: bacterial SSU rRNA
Rfam family: Bacterial small subunit ribosomal RNA
Source: RNAcentral
AUGGGCGCAAGCCUGAUGCAGCCAUGCCGCGUGUGUGAAGAAGGCCUUCGGGUUGUAAAGCACUUUCAGUCAGGAGGAAAGGUUAGUAGUUAAUACCUGCUAGCUGUGACGUUACUGACAGAAGAAGCACCGGCUAACUCCGUGCCAGCAGCCGCGGUAAUACGGAGGGUGCGAGCGUUAAUCGGAAUUACUGGGCGUAAAGCGUACGCAGGCGGUUUGUUAAGCGAGAUGUGAAAGCCCCGGGCUUAACCUGGGAACUGCAUUUCGAACUGGCAAACUAGAGUGUGAUAGAGGGUGGUAGAAUUUCAGGUGUAGCGGUGAAAUGCGUAGAGAUCUGAAGGAAUACCGAUGGCGAAGGCAGCCACCUGGGUCAACACUGACGCUCAUGUACGAAAGCGUGGGGAGCAAACAGGAUUAGAUACCCUGGUAGUCCACGCCGUAAACGAUGUCUACUAGGAGCUGGGGUCUUCGGACAACUUUUCCAAAGCUAACGCAUUAAGUAGACCGCCUGGGGAGUACGGCCG